RNAcentral lists this ribosomal RNA (480 nucleotides) under uncultured bacterium. RNAcentral's name for it is "bacterial SSU rRNA". It matches the Rfam family "Bacterial small subunit ribosomal RNA", at positions 30 to 504 of the family's 1533-position model. The record is from RNAcentral.
CGAACGCUGGCGGCGUGCUUAACACAUGCAAGUCUACGAGAAAGUGUCUUUCGGGAUGCGAGUAAAGUGGCGCACGGGUGAGUAACACGUAAGCAAUCUACCCUUAGGCCUGGGAUAACCCCGAGAAAUCGGGGCUAAUACCGGAUGAUGCAGCGGCACCACAUGGUGAUGUUGUUAAAGUCUAUAUGGCGUCUAGGGAUGAGCUUGCGUCUGAUUAGCUUGUUGGUGAGGUAACGGCUUACCAAGGCUGCGAUCAGUAGCUGGUCUGAGAGGAUGAUCAGCCACACUGGAACUGAGACACGGUCCAGACUCCUACGGGAGGCAGCAGUGAGGAAUAUUGGGCAAUGGGCGAAAGCCUGACCCAGCAACGCCGCGUGGAGGAUGAAUGUCGUAAGAUUGUAAACUCCUGUUAGAGGGGAAGAAUAAUUCCGAUCGAAUCGGAACUUGACUGUACCCUCAGAGAAAGCUCCGGCUAACUAC